ACACUAUCAUUAACUGAAUCCAUAGGUUAAUGAGGCGAACCGGGGGAACUGAAACAUCUAAGUACCCCGAGGAAAAGAAAUCAACCGAGAUUCCCCCAGUAGCGGCGAGCGAACGGGGAGCAGCCCAGAGCCUGAAUCAGUGUGUGUGUUAGUGGAAGCGUCUGGAAAGGCGCGCGAUACAGGGUGACAGCCCCGUACACAAAAAUGCACAUGCUGUGAGCUCGAUGAGUAGGGCGGGACACGUGGUAUCCUGUCUGAAUAUGGGGGGACCAUCCUCCAAGGCUAAAUACUCCUGACUGACCGAUAGUGAACCAGUACCGUGAGGGAAAGGCGAAAAGAACCCCGGCGAGGGGAGUGAAAAAGAACCUGAAACCGUGUACGUACAAGCAGUGGGAGCCUCUUUAUGGGGUGACUGCGUACCUUUUGUAUAAUGGGUCAGCGACUUAUAUUCUGUAGCAAGGUUAACCGAAUAGGGGAGCCGAAGGGAAACCGAGUCUUAACUGGGCGUUAAGUUGCAGGGUAUAGACCCGAAACCCGGUGAUCUAGCCAUGGGCAGGUUGAAGGUUGGGUAACACUAACUGGAGGACCGAACCGACUAAUGUUGAAAAAUUAGCGGAUGACUUGUGGCUGGGGGUGAAAGGCCAAUCAAACCGGGAGAUAGCUGGUUCUCCCCGAAAGCUAUUUAGGUAGCGCCUCGUGAAUUCAUCUCCGGGGGUAGAGCACUGUUUCGGCAAGGGGGUCAUCCCGACUUACCAACCCGAUGCAAACUGCGAAUACCGGAGAAUGUUAUCACGGGAGACACACGGCGGGUGCUAACGUCCGUCGUGAAGAGGGAAACAACCCAGACCGCCAGCUAAGGUCCCAAAGUCAUGGUUAAGUGGGAAACGAUGUGGGAAGGCCCAGACAGCCAGGAUGUUGGCUUAGAAGCAGCCAUCAUUUAAAGAAAGCGUAAUAGCUCACUGGUCGAGUCGGCCUGCGCGGAAGAUGUAACGGGGCUAAACCAUGCACCGAAGCUGCGGCAGCGACGCUUAUGCGUUGUUGGGUAGGGGAGCGUUCUGUAAGCCUGUGAAGGUGUGCUGUGAGGCAUGCUGGAGGUAUCAGAAGUGCGAAUGCUGACAUAAGUAACGAUAAAGCGGGUGAAAAGCCCGCUCGCCGGAAGACCAAGGGUUCCUGUCCAACGUUAAUCGGGGCAGGGUGAGUCGACCCCUAAGGCGAGGCCGAAAGGCGUAGUCGAUGGGAAACAGGUUAAUAUUCCUGUACUUGGUGUUACUGCGAAGGGGGGACGGAGAAGGCUAUGUUGGCCGGGCGACGGUUGUCCCGGUUUAAGCGUGUAGGCUGGUUUUCCAGGCAAAUCCGGAAAAUCAAGGCUGAGGCGUGAUGACGAGGCACUACGGUGCUGAAGCAACAAAUGCCCUGCUUCCAGGAAAAGCCUCUAAGCAUCAGGUAACAUCAAAUCGUACCCCAAACCGACACAGGUGGUCAGGUAGAGAAUACCAAGGCGCUUGAGAGAACUCGGGUGAAGGAACUAGGCAAAAUGGUGCCGUAACUUCGGGAGAAGGCACGCUGAUAUGUAGGUGAGGUCCCUCGCGGAUGGAGCUGAAAUCAGUCGAAGAUACCAGCUGGCUGCAACUGUUUAUUAAAAACACAGCACUGUGCAAACACGAAAGUGGACGUAUACGGUGUGACGCCUGCCCGGUGCCGGAAGGUUAAUUGAUGGGGUUAGCGGUAACGCGAAGCUCUUGAUCGAAGCCCCGGUAAACGGCGGCCGUAACUAUAACGGUCCUAAGGUAGCGAAAUUCCUUGUCGGGUAAGUUCCGACCUGCACGAAUGGCGUAAUGAUGGCCAGGCUGUCUCCACCCGAGACUCAGUGAAAUUGAACUCGCUGUGAAGAUGCAGUGUACCCGCGGCAAGACGGAAAGACCCCGUGAACCUUUACUAUAGCUUGACACUGAACAUUGAGCCUUGAUGUGUAGGAUAGGUGGGAGGCUUUGAAGUGUGGACGCCAGUCUGCAUGGAGCCGACCUUGAAAUACCACCCUUUAAUGUUUGAUGUUCUAACGUUGACCCGUAAUCCGGGUUGCGGACAGUGUCUGGUGGGUAGUUUGACUGGGGCGGUCUCCUCCUAAAGAGUAACGGAGGAGCACGAAGGUUGGCUAAUCCUGGUCGGACAUCAGGAGGUUAGUGCAAUGGCAUAAGCCAGCUUGACUGCGAGCGUGACGGCGCGAGCAGGUGCGAAAGCAGGUCAUAGUGAUCCGGUGGUUCUGAAUGGAAGGGCCAUCGCUCAACGGAUAAAAGGUACUCCGGGGAUAACAGGCUGAUACCGCCCAAGAGUUCAUAUCGACGGCGGUGUUUGGCACCUCGAUGUCGGCUCAUCACAUCCUGGGGCUGAAGUAGGUCCCAAGGGUAUGGCUGUUCGCCAUUUAAAGUGGUACGCGAGCUGGGUUUAGAACGUCGUGAGACAGUUCGGUCCCUAUCUGCCGUGGGCGCUGGAGAACUGAGGGGGGCUGCUCCUAGUACGAGAGGACCGGAGUGGACGCAUCACUGGUGUUCGGGUUGUCAUGCCAAUGGCACUGCCCGGUAGCUAAAUGCGGAAGAGAUAAGUGCUGAAAGCAUCUAAGCACGAAACUUGCCCCGAGAUGAGUUCUCCCUGAC
This 2651-nucleotide ribosomal RNA is filed under the name Escherichia coli. RNAcentral's name for it is "bacterial LSU rRNA". It matches the Rfam family "Bacterial large subunit ribosomal RNA". Lineage: Bacteria; Pseudomonadati; Pseudomonadota; Gammaproteobacteria; Enterobacterales; Enterobacteriaceae. The record is from RNAcentral.